RNAcentral lists this long non-coding RNA (747 nucleotides) under Homo sapiens (human). Its description in RNAcentral is "non-protein coding lnc-TMEM17-1:1". Lineage: Eukaryota; Metazoa; Chordata; Mammalia; Primates; Hominidae. The record is from RNAcentral.
CUGCUUCCGAGGUUUUCAGUCUGAAUCACCGGGACAGCUAAUGAGAUGAAGAUGGACAAGUUGAAGAAACGUCACAGGAGCCCAAGAGGCUGGCCAGAGAGCCCAGGACUCAGUUCCUCUGUGGGAAGGCACACACACUCUUUGGUCAAGAAACUUGGUCAGGAGGUCAGAAACAUGGGCCCUGCCCGAGCAGCAAGUCACCAUGACCCAGGCCAACCUGAGGACAAAGGCCUCAACUAUUCCUUGAACCAUGCUGAUAAUCAGGACAUUCCGAAGAAACAAGUGAUGUGGAUUUCAGUGACGGCCUACCUCCAGAAGACUUCCUUCAGCCUGAUGUCUUCCUCAAGACCAGCCAACCCCGAACCAUGAGCUGAUGGGGCCACGUGCAUUUCACAGGUUACUGACUGGGUGGGCUGAAUGAUGGCCCCCAAAGACAGCCAGGUCCUAACCCCUGGAACCUGUGAAUAUUACCCUACAUGGCAAAACGGACUUUGCUGGUGUGACUGAAAGCCCUUGAGUGGGGAGAUUAUCCCGGAUUAUUCAGAUGGAUCUUAAAUGUAAUCACAAGGGUCCUUCUAAAAGAGAGGCAGAGGAAGAUUUUACUACAGAAGACAAACAAAGCCAUAUGACAAAGGAAGCAGACAGAGAGAGAGAUUUGGAAAUGCUAUGCUGCUGGCUUUGAAGAUGGGUAAGAGGCCAAGAGCCAAAGAAUGCAAACACUGCAGCUCUGGAUGCUAGAAAGGGCAA